This 253-nucleotide ribosomal RNA is filed under the name uncultured bacterium. RNAcentral's name for it is "partial 16S ribosomal RNA". It matches the Rfam family "Bacterial small subunit ribosomal RNA", at positions 524 to 776 of the family's 1533-position model. The record is from RNAcentral.
GACAGAGGAUGCAAGCGUUAUCCGGAAUGAUUGGGCGUAAAGAGUCCGUAGGUGGUUUGUCAAGUCUGUGGUUAAAGCGUGGAGCUCAACUCCAUAACGGCCAUGGAAACUGACAGACUAGAGUUAAGUAGGGGUAGAGGGAAUUCCCAGUGUAGCGGUGAAAUGCGUAGAGAUUGGGAAGAACACCGGUGGCGAAAGCGCUCUACUGGACCUAUACUGACACUGAGAGACGAAAGCUAGGGGAGCAAAUGGG